UCUCUUGUGUGUAUUUCUGGCAUUGUCUGUACAGUUACUGACACCCCUUUCCCAAUUUUUUUUCCAGCUGUACUUUCUGGGACCUGCCUCCUGUGCAGGGAGGUUUUUUCCUUUCUUCUACAGCUUUUUGGAAAGAAGGAUUUCCCAUGUUGUUCUCUCCCCUGAAAUACCUUCUGGCAUGUUCCUAGUCCAUCCUCUGUGCUCUUCAGCUUGCUCUGAGAAAGCUGAGAAUGCUCUCAGUGUGAUGAGCUCAAGGUGGGGAAUGCACAGGAAGUAAAAAUGAGCGCCUUGGGACAUUGAAUAAGGAGACAAGGACGUGCUUGCUCUCCCAGCCAGGAGAAGCUCUGCCACCCCAUCCUCAGGAGCUUCCCCUCUGGGCUCUGUUUUCAGCCACUCUGGGAAGGAUCCUCUCAGCUGUCCAUGGAAUGGGGAAGCUGUGGAUAUCAGAGAAAAUCAGCUUCCCUGGAGUGUGAARGGGAAGGAGCAGUGAAGAGCUGAAGGAGAGA
Malurus melanocephalus (red-backed fairy wren) is the source of this 506-nucleotide long non-coding RNA. RefSeq lists it as uncharacterized. The transcript has 3 exons. The record is from RefSeq and is a predicted model, not a curated record. NCBI's taxonomy places the organism in Eukaryota, Metazoa, Chordata, Aves, Passeriformes, Maluridae.